This 320-nucleotide ribosomal RNA is filed under the name Dianema urostriatum (flagtail catfish). Its description in RNAcentral is "partial 12S ribosomal RNA". It matches the Rfam family "Bacterial small subunit ribosomal RNA", at positions 866 to 1352 of the family's 1533-position model. Lineage: Eukaryota; Metazoa; Chordata; Actinopteri; Siluriformes; Callichthyidae. The record is from RNAcentral.
UAUCCGCCAGGGUACUACGAGCACAGCUUAAAACCCAAAGGACUUGGCGGUGCUUCAGAUCCACCUAGAGGAGCCUGUUCUAGAACCGAUAAUCCUCGUUAAACCUCACCACUUCUUGUUAAUCCCGCCUAUAUACCACCGUCGUCAGCUUACCCUGUGAAGGGAUAAUAGUAAACAAAAUGGGCACACCCCAAAACGUCAGGUCGAGGUGUAGCGCACGAAGUGGGAAGAAAUGGGCUACAUUUUCUAAUUAUAGAAUAUUACGAACGGCACCAUGAAAAAGAUGCCCGAAGGAGGAUUUAGCAGUAAAAGAAACAGAG